GCCCGCUCUUCUCCUUUCUGCUUCCACAGUAUUCAUAGAGCCAUAUAAGUGUAGGACUGACAGGGAGCUCAAUAGAUCAUCUAGUCUAGGCCUCUGCACUCAAGGCAGGAGUGCACGAAUCAAGGAAGGGUAAGAAUAUCUUUGGAUACAGACUGGCUUAAACUAGUCAGGAAGGCUUUAACUUAGGUUAAGUGGGGACAAGAGACAAAAGCCCACAGGUAAAUCAAAAAACAUGGAGACCUGGGAGAAUGGUUGGAAUCUGGUGCUGAGAGAGGGGAGCAUAGGCAAUCAUAGCAGAGGCAAGAGAGAACACAGAGGGGAAAUCAAAUCUGUAUCUUAGAUGUCUGUAUACUAAUGCAAGAAGAAUGGGGAAUAAACAAGAAGAACUAGAAAUAUUAGUGAAUAAGCACUACUCUGACAGACAGUCAGAUCAUCCUGGGAUGGCCAAAAGUAGUCUUUUGUUGAAUGAGGACUAGGAUGGAACUGGAGCAACCAGAGGCAAACUGGGAAGAGAAGAGUAAGGAAAAUAAAAACCACAUGGAAAAGACUAGUAAAAAGAAAAAGAUGAGGGGACGAGGACAGAAAAGGAGAAAUGAGAGAAAUGGCAUAGAAAGAAGCAGAGAUGGCAGCCACUGUAUCAGGACAUGGUGAGAAGGGUGAUGGGAAGAUAGAUUGACCAGUCCACCCCAUGGGGAGUUGUGACAGGGUGUAUUAGGUCCUUUGAACCCCUGCUGGAGGAAUUAUGGUCCUACCACACCUUACCCCAAAAAGGCAGGAGUAGAGUUGGUCCUCCAGCCUGCAUAGAGAGGCUGCAGGGAGCAGCCAAUCAGAGCCCAGUAGGCUCCUAUAAAAAGUAAGGAUGGUUGGCCACAGUACUUAAACAGAGCAGUUGCUGGCUGGAGUAAGGAGGGCAUUCUUGGUCAGCUUCUUCAGCCCUAGCUUAAGGGUGAAGUGUGUGCGCCUUGGCCGGAGGGCUGAGUCAGUGGAAACCUGCUUGAGAGCUUAACUGCCAACAGAGGACCCUGCGAGCAGAGCAGAGAGUGCAGGUGCAGACACACCCGACAGGAGGCACUCGCAGGAAACAAGUGGCCCCCCCUCACAGAGGCCCUUCCCAGGAAAAGAAUGAAGACUGAAGUUUCUGUCCUAGUUACAAAGCUUUAACCACAUUGGGUCAUAUUCUCAACCUGGUGGAAAUCGACAUAGCACCAUCAGGGUCUAUUGAGGCAUGCCACUUGACACAAGCUAAGGAGCUGGCCCACAGGUUUUAAUGCACAGAAAAUCUUUUCCUUACUGGUUUGAGUCAGCUAUUAGCUUAACUCUUUCUCCAUCCAAUAUUGACUGAUUGAUUGAAUUUAUUUUUUAAUUCUGUAUAACAAACUAUUGGUGUUGACUGAGUAUAUUGUUUUGUUGAUUUGAUAAAUCCAUGUAUAAUUCUGAUUUCAGUUCUACAACAGGACACAACUGAAUGCCAUUUUAUUAAACUCUCUUUUUCAAGUUCACAGUAUGCACCAUGUAAUUUAAAGCAAAAUGUGAAGAUUAGCCCAAAAGGAAUGUAAAUUGUUUGUGUAUAAAUUACCUCUUGUACGUUUAAUGCUUCCUUUAUUUUAUGAUUGAACUUUUCAGUGCUCAAAAAUCCUGUUAACUAACACACUGGCUGUUCAUGCAUGAACUUCCUAUAAUCAGGACUGUUGGACUUGCUUUACCAGGACAGAAGAAUGAUCCAUACAGUCUGGUAACCUGUCUGAGAAUAGCCUACAUAGGAUACUUCAGAGGAAAGCCCAGAUACCCAUAAUACUCAAUCAAACAUUUAUUCAGACCUUUUCUUCUAUAGAACUGAAAGUGGUUUACAAAGGUGGCUAAGUAUCUUUGGCCAAAAUUUUCAAAUUUGGGUAGGUAAAAUUGGGCUCCUAAUGCCCUAAUUAGAUUGUGAAAUAAAAAUUCUCAGCAGUCCUAAGCAACCUGAGCUCUUUUACUGAUCAAUGGCAUCCCCAUGCUGUAAAAUUAGCGGUUAAAGUACAUCAACAUACAAGGAGAACUUAAAUUUAUAGUGGCUGUCAGAGGUCUUGAAAUCAUAUGGGAAUGAGGUGUCAUUUUUACCUUCUGACAGCAGCCUGCAGCAAGGGGAACAAUCUGGGGGACUAAUUAUGGCUUUAUACAACACCAAUCACUGUACU
Long non-coding RNA from Dermochelys coriacea (leatherback sea turtle), 2174 nucleotides. RefSeq lists it as uncharacterized. Lineage: Eukaryota; Metazoa; Chordata; Testudines; Dermochelyidae. The transcript has 3 exons. The record is from RefSeq and is a predicted model, not a curated record.